RNAcentral lists this ribosomal RNA (492 nucleotides) under uncultured bacterium. Its description in RNAcentral is "partial 16S ribosomal RNA". It matches the Rfam family "Bacterial small subunit ribosomal RNA", at positions 29 to 507 of the family's 1533-position model. The record is from RNAcentral.
AGUGAACGCUGGCGGUAGGCCUAACACAUGCAAGUCGAACGGCAGCACAGUAAGAGCUUGCUCUUACGGGUGGCGAGUGGCGGACGGGUGAGGAAUACAUCGGAAUCUACUUUUUCGUGGGGGAUAACGUAGGGAAACUUACGCUAAUACCGCAUACGACCUACGGGUGAAAGCAGGGGAUCUUCGGACCUUGCGCGAUUGAAUGAGCCGAUGUCGGAUUAGCUAGUUGGCGGGGUAAAGGCCCACCAAGGCGACGAUCCGUAGCUGGUCUGAGAGGAUGAUCAGCCACACGGGAACUGAGACACGGUACAGACUACUACGGGAGGCAGCAGUGGGGAAUAUUGGACAAUGGGCGCAAGCCUGAUCCAGCCAUACCGCGUGGGUGAAGAAGGCCUUCGGGUUGUAAAGCCCUUUUGUUGGGAAAGAAAAGCAGCAGGUUAAUACCCCGCUGUUCUGACGGUACCCAAAGAAUAAGCACCGGCUAACUUCGUG